UACGAGGGGGGCAAGCGUUGUUCGGAAUUAUUGGGCGUAAAGGGUGCGUAGGCGGUCGGGUAAGUCUGAUGUGAAAUCUCACAGCUUAACUGUGAAACUGCAUUGGAUACUAUCCGGCUCGAGGAAUGGAGGGGAGACUGGAAUACUUGGUGUAGCAGUGAAAUGCGUAGAUAUCAAGUGGAACACCAGUGGCGAAGGCGAGUCUCUGGACAUUUCCUGACGCUGAGGCACGAAAGCCAGGGGAGCAAACGGG
RNAcentral lists this ribosomal RNA (253 nucleotides) under uncultured bacterium. Its description in RNAcentral is "partial 16S ribosomal RNA". It matches the Rfam family "Bacterial small subunit ribosomal RNA", at positions 524 to 776 of the family's 1533-position model. The record is from RNAcentral.